GAUGAACGCUGGCGGCGUGCCUAAUACAUGCAAGUCGAGCGAAGCGGGGACGGGGGAGUAACACGUGGAUAACCUCCUAUAAGACUGGGAUAACUUCGGGAAACCGGAGCUAAACCGGAUACUUAUCGAUGGAUCAGUGCUGCAUUAGCUGGUUGGUAAGGUACCGGAUUACCAAGGCAACGAUGCCUAGCCGAACUGAGAGGGUGAUCGGCCACACUGGAACGGAUACACGGUCCAGAGUCCUACGGGAGGCAGCAGUAGGGAAUCUUCCGCAAUGGGCGCAAGCCUGACGGAGCAACGCCGAGUGAGUGAUGAAGGUCUUCGGAUCGUAAAACUCUUUUAUUAGGGAAGCGGUACCUAAUCAGAAAGCCACGGCUAACUACGUGCCAGCAGCCGCGGUAAUUC
This 405-nucleotide ribosomal RNA is filed under the name uncultured bacterium. Its description in RNAcentral is "partial 16S ribosomal RNA". It matches the Rfam family "Bacterial small subunit ribosomal RNA", at positions 28 to 526 of the family's 1533-position model. The record is from RNAcentral.